RNAcentral lists this ribosomal RNA (301 nucleotides) under uncultured bacterium. RNAcentral's name for it is "partial 16S ribosomal RNA". It matches the Rfam family "Bacterial small subunit ribosomal RNA", at positions 509 to 807 of the family's 1533-position model. The record is from RNAcentral.
CAGCAGCCGCGGGAAUACGAAGGGGGCUAGCGUUGUUCGGAUUUACUGGGCGUAAAGGGCGCGUAGGCGGACUGAUAAGUCAGGGGUGAAAUCCCAAGGCUCAACCUUGGAACUGCCUUUGAUACUGUUUGUCUUGAGUUCGAGAGAGGUAAGUGGAACUGCGAGCGUAGAGGUGAAAUUCGUAGAUAUUCGCAAGAACACCAGUGGCGAAGGCGGCUUACUGGCUCGAAACUGACGCUGAGGCGCGAAAGCGUGGGGAGCAAACAGGAUUAGAGACCCCAGUAGUCCCUGUCUCUUAUAC